This 905-nucleotide ribosomal RNA is filed under the name Staphylococcus pseudintermedius. RNAcentral describes it as "partial 23S ribosomal RNA". It matches the Rfam family "Bacterial large subunit ribosomal RNA", at positions 1471 to 2375 of the family's 2925-position model. Lineage: Bacteria; Bacillati; Bacillota; Bacilli; Caryophanales; Staphylococcaceae. The record is from RNAcentral.
GACGCAGUAGGAUAGGCGAAGCGUGCUGUUGGAGUGCACGUCCAAGCAGUGAGAUUGAGUGUUAGGCAAAUCCGGCACUCUUAAGAUUGAGCUGUGAUGGGGAGAGGAACUUGUUCCUCGAGUCGUUGAUUUCACACUGCCGAGAAAAGCCUCUAGCUAGAAUAACGGUGCCCGUACCGCAAACCGACACAGGUAGUCAAGAUGAGAAUUCUAAGGUGAGCGAGCGAACUCUCGUUAAGGAACUCGGCAAAAUGACCCCGUAACUUCGGGAGAAGGGGUGCUCUUUGAGGUUCACGCUUCGAAGAGCCGCAGUGAAUAGGCCCAAGCGACUGUUUAUCAAAAACACAGGUCUCUGCUAAACCGUAAGGUGACGUAUAGGGGCUGACGCCUGCCCGGUGCUGGAAGGUUAAGAGGAGUGGUUAGCGCAAGCGAAGCUACGAAUCGAAGCCCCAGUAAACGGCGGCCGUAACUAUAACGGUCCUAAGGUAGCGAAAUUCCUUGUCGGGUAAGUUCCGACCCGCACGAAAGGCGUAACGAUUUGGGCACUGUCUCAACGAGAGACUCGGUGAAAUCAUAGUACCGGUGAAGAUGCCGGUUACCCGCGACAGGACGGAAAGACCCCGUGGAGCUUUACUGUAGCCUGAUAUUGAAAUUCGGUACAGUUUGUACAGGAUAGGUAGGAGCCUUAGAAGCGUGAGCGCUAGCUUACGUGGAGGCAUUGGUGGGAUACUACCCUAAUUGUAUUGGAUUUCUAACCCGCAGCACUUAUCGUGCUGGGAGACAGUGUCAGGCGGGCAGUUUGACUGGGGCGGUCGCCUCCUAAAGAGUAACGGAGGCGCUCAAAGGUUCCCUCAGAAUGGUUGGAAAUCAUUCAUAGAGUGUAAAGGCAUAAGGGAGCUUGACUG